UGAGGUUUCAGAAGCCCAGUGGCUCUCUGUUUUUCUGCUGCCCGUGGGUCCAGAUGUAGAACUUUCACCUCCUUUCCAGCACCAUGUCGGCCUGCAUGCUGCCAUGCUUCCCGCCAUGAUGAUAAGGGACUAAACCUCUGAACUGUAAGCCAACCCUAACCAAAUGUUUUCCUUUGUAAGAGCUGCCAUGGUCAUGGUGUCUUCACAGCAACAGAACACUGACUAAGACAACAGGUAAGUUCCUUUGGGUCCAUGUGUUCAGAGCAGGAAGAAGUGUAUGUCACCUAGGCCAAGCAUUCAGUUGCAAAGCCAAGCCACUCAGUGCUCUUUUCCAUCAAGCAUUGUGACAUCAGUGGUCAAAACACUGUUCUCUCUCACCAUCUGGACUCUGGGUGACUACAAUGUUCAGCAGCCCCACAACUGCCAUGGAGACUGUAAUUACUGCAGCCAUUCACUCAGAAGAGGGUUUGCCCCUGCAACUUUCACUGAUUUGUGUAACUAGCAGUGAAAUGAGAUUUACAUUCCUUUCUCCCAAGGUGGUCUUCUCUAAAAACCACAGCAAAAUGAUCAUCUGUAAACUGAGCUCAUGGUAAGCAAA
Long non-coding RNA from Peromyscus eremicus (cactus mouse), 598 nucleotides. RefSeq lists it as uncharacterized. The transcript is spliced from 2 exons. NCBI's taxonomy places the organism in Eukaryota, Metazoa, Chordata, Mammalia, Rodentia, Cricetidae. The record is from RefSeq and is a predicted model, not a curated record.